GGAAGAGAAUCGUCUCCGGUGGGGCGGCCGGGCUUCAAACCCGUGCUGGGGCGCUCAGCGUUCCUGGUGGGUUCAACUCCCACUCUCUUCCGCCA
RNAcentral lists this transfer RNA (95 nucleotides) under Rhodospirillaceae bacterium. Its description in RNAcentral is "tRNA-Sec". It matches the Rfam family "Selenocysteine transfer RNA". Lineage: Bacteria; Pseudomonadati; Pseudomonadota; Alphaproteobacteria; Rhodospirillales; Rhodospirillaceae. RNAcentral also lists the same sequence under 1 other name. The record is from RNAcentral.